ACCUCAUCAGAGUCAGAGCGCACCACCCACUUCAAAGCGCGAUACAGCUCCAAAAGAACAUCUCCUAGAACCUGCAUAGAGAAAGAACAUCAUAAUCAGGCACUGAAGCAGUAAAGGUUUGGGAAGAAGUGGUUUCCUGCUUUCUGUACUACAGCUGAAGAACAAACAAUGUCAAAGGCAAGAUCAGAAAAUGAAUCGGAAUUUGAAAUUCUUUUUGGAAACCAUGGACACCGCGUUCUAUAAACAAGAGGAAAGCGACCAUCCGGCUUUUUUAUCAGCACUCAAAGGCCUGCAUCUCUGAUGGUAUGGGGUGCAUUAGUGCCUCUGGAAUGGGCAGCUUGCACAUCUGGAAAGGCACCAUCAAUGCAGAAAGAGACAGAGUGGUCUAUAAUCACAGGAGUACGGGUUAAUUACUAUCUCCUGACUAGCUGUCUACGUGAAGCCUAGACACCAGAGACAUGAAAGCUAAAACACAACACUUCCCACUGAAAUCUGCUAAUAGCUAUGUGUCAUGUUCAACAACAGCAAGUUUAACAGUGCUGAAAAACAAUAGUAAAAGUGCUUUUACAAUCACAUGGGGAAUAUCAAAUUGGUGCUUUUGGCUGUUGGUACAGCUGGAUCCUGUGUCCUGGACAGAAUUUUUUUUUAAAUAAUUCUCUGUACAUUCUAGUUAGCCACACUGUAAUCAAUUUCAUUUAGUUCUGCAAAAUGUUUAGCUAAAAGGAUACCUACAUAACAUCAUGCUUUGGAAGGACUUAAAAAAUUAUACAACAGCAUUAAUCUAGACAAAUUAAACUAAUGUAUAAAGCAAUCUGAAACAGAAUGAAACAGCAGGAAGGAUUGAAAACAGACUGAUUGUAAGUAGCUACCACUGCUUUAAACCUCUAGAUCAAACCUCUCAGUUGCAGGAUAUUCUCUAUGUUAUUCUUGUAUGAAAGCCUGAUGAUUUAGUUGGCAGUUUGAGAUUCAUAAUCUCUCCUGAAGCAGUAAUGCAGGUUAUCCCACCAUUGCUUUAUGGGGUUAAACGUGUCUGCAGUUUGCUGAAAGUUUAGCUGUCGCUGGGACACAGAGCAGUUUUACACUCUAGCUUUUGGCACUGCUUACACACGACAUGUCUGCAGUGUGCCAGUGGCCCUCUAUGUCACUUCUUGUGACAUUUGAGGCACAGGAAACUGACCAUGUGUUGCUUUCUUUCUGCAACAACCAACCUUUGAAACAAUGUCUGCUUUAAGCAACCAGAUUAUGCACUGUUCUACAGAGACUCAGUUAGUUUAGCCUUUUUUAGAUAGACAAAGAAGAUGUAAUGUCUCACUGCUUCAUAUUGAUUCUACAUUUCUCUUUCAAGGAAAUUUUGCAUUAAUGUAUAGCCUUUCUAACUAUUUUUGGUCUCUGACUCUUUUGUUUUAUUCUAUCUAAAUUACGUAAGCCUUCUGGUCAUUAAUGAGGACCACAACCAUGCAUGUUUUAUCUGAUGUUUGCACAAUAUUUUACUUGUAGUCAGUCUAAUUUACAUUCCAGCACUGUUGAAUUCUCAAAUCUGAUUGGUCAGAAUGUGUUGAUUGAUUUCUUAUAACAGCAACUCUCACUGCAGUUCCACUGACAGUUUUAUAUUGAUCCACUUGUUCUAAUACUAUACCGUUUCUAUAGUAACAGCUUGUUCACAGGGACUUCUAUGGAGGAAACGCCACAUAAUCUUUAAGUCUGAUUAUGAAUGGAUUAAAAUGUGUUUAUAUGUAACAAAGAAAAAUGGAUAAUCAAAGUUUUCUGGAACUACAUGUUUAUGUAACAUGUAUACAAGGAGUCUCGAGUGUGCUUUGUGCCCAUUCACAAAAGAAUGACUUAGUUCUGCCAGAUUAGAAAGCUGGGUGACUGGCCAAAGCAAGCCACUUCAUGUGAUGUCACUUUCAGUGUAAUCACACUGAGUGCCAGUGUUAACUCGACUAAACCAUUUCUCAUCGCUGGGUAAACUUCUGUCUUCUUCAGUCUCUCUAUACUCUACUUCAGUCCAAGCAAGAUGGCUUUUGAGUUUCUUCCAUUCUAGGGAGAACUGAUCAGUUCAUCGAUUUAAAUGAUUAAAAAUGGUUCACCCAAAAUCUUCACCUUUACUUAUAAAUAAUCACGGAUGCUGUAUCAAAUUUAAUAUGUACUAUUUACAUGAGCCUACUACAUGUAAUCAGAAAUAAAAUAAUGCCACCAACUGAAUGCUGUAGUAGUUGUAGCACAGUGGUGGCCUACAGAGUGGACUGGACCUUGGCCUUAUGCAAAUGAGGAGAAUUAGGGAAAACACACAUUGCUUCACAGAAGGGUGGGCUUGAUGAGAGACCAGUGGUUUUCAAACCAUCUGCCUCAUCCACACUUCUAAAGCUGCAUGCUGAAUUCCUCCCUUUAAACCAUGUGUUAGACACAGCUGUGCAGUGUAUUAGCACACUAAAGAACAGUUUACACCGAAAGGGUUUCUAAAGUGGACCUGAUUCACCCUGAUGCUCUUCUUCUUCUUGGAGCCUCUACACUUCCUGCUGUUAUGGAUGGUCUCACAUGGAUUUGUUCUUCCCCAAAACAAUUUAUGCCCAGGUCUCAUCCUUUCUUCAGUAGAUAAUCUCAUCUGGAUACUGUAGACCUGUGCCUAAGAACUGCUGCUGCUGCAAUCUGAAAGACAGUCCCAUGCUCAUCCCAGGACUCCUAGUCAUAAUAUGCUCACACUGACAAUCCUUUCAACACACAUACUACUAUAUGAUGCUAUAAUAUACAGUUGUAGAAGAAUAAUGAUUUAUAAUCCCACUAUCCAUUGUCAUUCAGAAGGGAAUGGGUUCCCUUUGUGUCUGGGUCCUUUCAAGGUUUCUGCCUCAUGUCGUCUCAAGAUGUUUGUACUCAACCACUGUCACUUCUGGUUUGCUCUUUAGGGAUGUAAAUCUACAUCUGGAUUUCUGUACAGCUGCUUUAUGGCAAUGUCUAUUGGUAAAAAAGCUAUACAAAUAAAACUGAAUUGAAUUAAAGGAGUCAUUUCAUGAUUUUUAAUGUUUUCCUUUUGUUUGGGUGUGAAAUGUAUGUGUUUGUGCAUGUAUAAGAUCUGCAAAGUCAUAAAGCUCAUAGUGUACCCCAAAGGGAUUUAUUUUAUCUAACAGAAAACACUGCUCCAGACCUGCCCAUAACGUGUUGUUCAAAGU
Long non-coding RNA from Ictalurus furcatus (blue catfish), 3164 nucleotides. RefSeq lists it as uncharacterized. The record is from RefSeq and is a predicted model, not a curated record. The transcript has 4 exons. Lineage: Eukaryota; Metazoa; Chordata; Actinopteri; Siluriformes; Ictaluridae.